GCCAGGCACGGUGGCACAUGCCUGUAGUCCCAGCUACUCAGGAGGCCGAGGCAGGAGGAUCACGUGAGCCCAGGAGUUCUGGGCUGUAGUGCGCUAUGCCGAUCGGGUGUCCGCACUAAGUUCGACAUCAAUAUGGUUACCUCCCUGGAGCAGGGAACCACCCCGUUGCCUAAGGAGGGGUGGUGAACUGGCCCAGGUCGGAAACGGAGCAGGUCAAAACUCCCUUGCUGAUCAGUUGUGGGGCUGCACCUGUGAAUAGCUACUGCACUCCAGCCUGGGCAACAUAGCAAGACUCUGUCUCUA
Molecule: unclassified non-coding RNA, 303 nt
Organism: Callithrix jacchus (white-tufted-ear marmoset)
Lineage: Eukaryota; Metazoa; Chordata; Mammalia; Primates; Cebidae
Rfam family: Metazoan signal recognition particle RNA
About the family: The signal recognition particle (SRP) is a universally conserved ribonucleoprotein. It is involved in the co-translational targeting of proteins to membranes.
Source: Ensembl